UUUGUUACUUCAAACCAAUCGGACUUCGGUCUGACAUCAAGUGAUAUUGAACAAUUUAGCUGAUCGCACGGUCUAAGAACCGGCGACAUAUCUUUCAAAUGUCUGCCUUAUCAACUUUCGAUGGUAGAUUAUGCGCCUACCAUGGUUGUAACGGGUAACGGAGAAUCAGGGUUUGAUUCCGGAGAGGGAGCCUGAGAAACGGCUACCACAUCCAAGGAAGGCAGCAGGCACGCAAAUUACCCACUCCCGGCACGGGGAGGUAGCGACGAAAAAUAACAAGCUGGUCUCAAUGAGUUCCAGCAUUGUAAUGGGAACAAUUUAAAUCUUUUAUCGAGGAUCUAUUGGAGGGCAAGUCUGGUGCCAGCAGCCGCGGUAAUUCCAGCUCCAAUAGCGUAUAUUAAAGUUGUUGCGGUCAAAAAGCUCGUAGUUGGAUCUAGGAUUAGGGCUACGGUCGUUCAGCUUGGACGUACUGUAUGCCCGACUCCUUUUCUCUAGUAUUCGAUUGUUGCUCUUAAAUGAGUGACUUUAGUUGCUGGAACUUUUACCUUGAAAAAAUUGAAGUGCUCAAAGCAGGUU
RNAcentral lists this ribosomal RNA (576 nucleotides) under uncultured eukaryote. Its description in RNAcentral is "SSU rRNA". It matches the Rfam family "Eukaryotic small subunit ribosomal RNA", at positions 203 to 786 of the family's 1831-position model. The record is from RNAcentral.